This 229-nucleotide long non-coding RNA is filed under the name Fukomys damarensis (Damara mole-rat). RNAcentral's name for it is "lncRNA (ENSFDAG00000024275.1)". Lineage: Eukaryota; Metazoa; Chordata; Mammalia; Rodentia; Bathyergidae. The record is from RNAcentral.
AAGGUGGAGAAUACAGCCUCUCUGGUCACGUUUCCUGCCAUGUGACCAAGUGCAGAGCAAAAGAUUAUGAGCUUCAUGAAGAUGGUCAGGUGCUGUGUUGCAGCAACAGGAAAACUGCUUGGUAUAAGCAGGACCACAACCUGAAUUUAUCUAAAGCUAUAGAGGAUUCAGCUGCCUUCCAGAAUAGGCAUCUCUAAUGUCCACAGUGCAGACACCCAGUGGGUUUGUA